UUAAUUUAUUUUGCGUUUGCCACUCAGAAAAAACUGUAAGAAACAUGGGUUUGGGGGUCCUCGGCGGGCGCCUGGUUCCGGGCUGAGCCGGGGCGUUCCCGCCGAAGCAACGUUUGGUAUAGGUUCACAUAGGGGUUUGGGAGUUGUUAACUCGGUAAUGAUCCCUCCGCUGGUUCACCAACGGAAA
RNAcentral lists this unclassified non-coding RNA (187 nucleotides) under uncultured fungus. RNAcentral describes it as "sequence contains ITS1". The record is from RNAcentral. Lineage: Eukaryota; Fungi.